GACGAACGCUGGCGGCGUGCUUAACACAUGCAAGUCGAACGAUGAUGCCAGCGUGCGGGUGGGUUAGUGGCGAACGGGUGAGUAACACGUGAGCAACCUGCCCCUGACUUCGGGAUAACCGCGGGAAACCGUGGCGAAUACCGGAUAUGACGCGCUAUCGCAUGGUGGGGUGGGGAAAGAUUUAUCGGUUGGGGGGGGGCUGGCGGCCUAUCAGCUGGGUGGUUGGGUGAGGGGGUACCAAGGCGACGACGGGUAGGAGGCCUGAGAGGGAGAGCGGCCACACUGGCCCUGAGGCACCGGCCACACUGCUCCGUGAGGCAGCCGUGGGGGAUGUUGCAUAAUUGGCGCAAGCCUGCUGCACCGACCCCGCCUGAGGGAUGACGGCCUUCGAGUUGUUAGCCUCUUUCAGUAGUGAAGCAGGCCUUCGGGUUGACGGUACCUGCAGAAGAAGCGCCGGCUAACUACGUG
This 468-nucleotide ribosomal RNA is filed under the name uncultured bacterium. RNAcentral's name for it is "partial 16S ribosomal RNA". It matches the Rfam family "Bacterial small subunit ribosomal RNA", at positions 28 to 507 of the family's 1533-position model. The record is from RNAcentral.